RNAcentral lists this ribosomal RNA (465 nucleotides) under Vreelandella stevensii. RNAcentral describes it as "partial 16S ribosomal RNA". It matches the Rfam family "Bacterial small subunit ribosomal RNA", at positions 338 to 795 of the family's 1533-position model. The record is from RNAcentral. Lineage: Bacteria; Pseudomonadati; Pseudomonadota; Gammaproteobacteria; Oceanospirillales; Halomonadaceae.
CCUACGGGAGGCUGCAGUGGGGAAUAUUGGACAAUGGGGGGAACCCUGAUCCAGCCAUGCCGCGUGUGUGAAGAAGGCCCUCGGGUUGUAAAGCACUUUCAGUGAGGAAGAACGCCUGGUGGUUAAUACCCAUCAGGAAAGACAUCACUCACAGAAGAAGCACCGGCUAACUCCGUGCCAGCAGCCGCGGUAAUACGGAGGGUGCGAGCGUUAAUCGGAAUUACUGGGCGUAAAGCGCGCGUAGGUGGCUUGAUAAGCCGGUUGUGAAAGCCCCGGGCUCAACCUGGGAACGGCAUCCGGAACUGUCAAGCUAGAGUGCAGGCGAGGAAGGUAGAAUUCCCGGUGUAGCGGUGAAAUGCGUAGAGAUCGGGAGGAAUACCAGUGGCGAAGGCGGCCUUCUGGACUGACACUGACACUGAGGUGCGAAAGCGUGGGUAGCAAACAGGAUUAGAUACCCUAGUAGUC